Molecule: long non-coding RNA, 6111 nt
Organism: Ictalurus punctatus (channel catfish)
Lineage: Eukaryota; Metazoa; Chordata; Actinopteri; Siluriformes; Ictaluridae
Source: Ensembl
GCUGAAUUAAAUAGUUGGAAUGACAUGUUCGGGCCUGUUGCCAAAACCAGGCUAUGACGGAACGCACAAAGAGGCGGGGUUAUUCUGUAGGCGUGCGCCGGGUUGACCAAUCAUAUUCCAAGAUAUGGCACGUGGGCUAACAGGCCACGCCUCCUUUCUCCAACACGCUCCUGCACGCUGAAGUUUCAGCAGUCUGGAAGCGGGACAGCGAAGAGGCAGAGCUGGGUUCUGUCACCGGGGGAAAAGUGGCGUUAUUGCACUUUAUUACUUAAAACAAGCAGUUAAAAUACUUUUCUUUUGCGCUAGAAGUGGACCGUUUUGUUUGUUUUCUUUCUCAGUUGCUAACUGAGUGAAUGACGUUAUCGGGAAGUUUUCGGAGAAACAGAGAUUUUCGGAUGUCGGAAACAAAAUGCACUUUUGGAUUUUAACUUCAACAGACUCACCUUUUCAGUGCUUGGUUUCCACGGUAACGGAGCGCGCGCCGGGCGGAUGUGUGCGCGCCGCCAUUUUGCGCACAGGUGCCGCUGUUAAAACAGAACAGAAGUAAAGGGGCUCGUGCGCGGAUUUUUGAAUGCCUUUGCGGGGAGUUUGCUGGUGGCUGUGCUGCACGCGAGGCUUCCGUUUGCUGGGGCGCGAGCAUGGAGGGAGAGAAGAGGAGGAGGAGGAAGAGGAGGAGGAAGAGUCGUUCGAGUUGCGCAAUAAGGAGGAGUGCACGCGCCGCCGCGCGCCGGGCCAACUGGAAGUGACUCUUUCUCAGCCGGCUCGAUCAGCCAAUGGCACGCCCAGGUGAGUUCACCUCAUUUAUUGUUCCAUCGAGGCUGAAACUUUACGGCGCACACUUACCCAGCCAGCUCGAGAGCGCACGAGAGGCUGUGGGAUCACGACGCGAAGGUUUUUACGACUAAACGCGGGCCAGAAAUGGUUUUUGUCAUGUGAGUUCUUUGGACAAUGAAAGUGAGAGGUGUAGAAUUUCCCUGCUUUGCUGCGGGACUCGCUUUCAACCUCUGAAAAUCUCCAACUUCCUUUUUGAGCGACAGAUAAAACAACCACAUGACGUGUUAGACAGUAUUACACACGCACACACACGCGCGCGCGCGCGUGCGUGCGUUUUUACAAGGGGACAUAAAGCGGUCGCACCAUAUGACACGUAUUUCACUCAGACAUACGUUUAAAUGUUUAACGUGUAGAUUCAGUUACUCAUUCUGAACUGGCAUUUUAAGACUGUAAGUACAUUAAUAUACACACAUGUACAUACACACACACACACACACACACACACACACACACACACACACACACACACACACACUCCUUCAUAGGACAGGAGCUGUAGAUAACAGAAAUUUAAAUAAAUCAUGUCACAGAUUCAAUACUGUUGCCAAGGUGUGUGUGUGUGUGUGUGUGUGUGUGUGUGUAAGAAAGUGAAGCCAGACAGGAUAUCCAGCACGUAGACUCAGUUAGUGCAUGGUGAGUCAGGGUGUUUAACGGCCAGCAGAGGUGAGUGGAUAAGUUACUGUACACACUUAACACACACACACACACACGCACACACACACAAACACACACAAGUACACAUGCAUACACGCGUCCUUUUGCUCUCUGCUCCUUGGCUUCUCUGUGGAAUGCUCUGGCACGGCUCUUAAGUAAACAGCGGUAUUUUUAGUACGGGUCGAACAGAGCCUUUCUUAAUCACUGUCUCCCCGUAUUCCCACCAUCCCCGAGUGAGAGAAAGACAGACAGGAAAAGACAGACGAGAGAGAGAGACAGGCGUUUUAAAAAAGGCAUUCAUAGAUAGUGGGCGGAGAUUACAAAUUGACCUACCAGUACCCUAACAUGUUUCAUAAAGCUGCUGAGUAAAGUGUCUCUCCAGGACAGAACAGGACCUUUCUAGGUCACGUACACAUUUUUAACGCGAUUAUCUCUCAGGAAAAAAAGGGGAAACAUUUGGUAUGAAGGCCAAUCAGUUGCGUAAUAAUCGUUUAAAUAGAAGAAUAUACAUUAUGCCGAUUUCUGAAUCCACCCGAACGUGAAGAACACAGAGCUGUUGCUCAAUGAAGGAUUACAAAAUUCUGUAAAUAAUUACUUAAAAAUAUCUAUUUUUUUAAAAUUUAAUCAAGACUUUAUUUUCUGUUUUUGGUCAUCAGUCCAAAUAUCUAGAACAUAUCGCUGUAAACAUGGCAUGUUUGUUUCACUUCUUGUAGGUGUGUCGAUUUAGAAUCACUUACAAUUGAAUUGCACUGUAGGUGAGUCGAUUCGGACUCACUUGCAAUCGAAACGCACUGUCGGUGGGUCGAUUCAGAAUCGCUUGCAAUAGAAUUGCACUGUCGGUGAGUCGAUUCAGAAUCGCUUGCAAUAGAAUUGCACUGUAGGUGAGUCGAUUCAGAAUCACAUGCAAUCGAAUUGCACUGUAGGUGAGUCGAUUCCGAAUCGCUUGUAAUCGAAUAGCACUGUAGGUGAGUCGAUUCAGAAUCACUUGCAAUUGAAUUGGGCUGUAGGUGAGUCGAAUCAGAAUCACUUUGUCACUGGAAUUGAAAUGCGCUGUAGGUGAGUCGAUUCAGAAUCACUUUCUCACUACAGUCAAAUUACGUGAUAGGUCAGUCGAUUCAGAAUAAUUUUCUCACUGGAAUUAAAUUACACUGUAAGUAAGUCUAUUCAGAAUCAUUUUCUCACUACAAUCAAACUGUGCUGUAGGUGAGUCGAUUCAGAAUAAUUUUCUCACUGCAGUCAAAUAACACUGUAAGUGAGUCGAUUCAGAAUCAUUUAUGACUGUAAUCAAACUGUGCUGUAGGUGAGUCAAUUCAGAAUCACCGACACACCAACAGUAGAGUUCCUACAUAUAAAAGUUGUCACGAUAUCCUUGAUAUUGCAGAAAUGUGUAUUGUGACAUAACUUAUAACAAUAUUGAUAAUAUAUCAUCAUAUCACCCAGCCCACAUAGGGUGUAACAUAAUGGUGGUGAACCUACACAGUGCACUUGAUUCCCAAUAAAACACCAUCUGAGGUUCAGCCACAAUAGACGAGCGAUUUGCUGGAACUCUAUCUGUUAUCGGACAAAAGCUUUGUUAUAUACAAGCAAAGAAACUCAAAUACAUAAUUAUAAUUAUACAAGAAUACGUAAGAAGAUAAUUUGUGUACAAAUUGAACUCUCCAGGAUCUCUGAUAAUAUGCAGGUCUGUGUUUAGGCUGUUGUUUUAAUAAGUGCAGAUUUGUUGUGGAAAACAGCUGGAAUACGGCGAUGUUCUCGGUUUAGCUAGAAUUCGGGAGAGCAGAGGGAGAGGUUAUGUGUAAAAAUCACAGCUGGGGCUCAUAUUGACCCACGGCUGCACGACGGUGGUGGAGGAGGAGGAGGAGGAGGAGGAGUGGUAGUAGUAAGGUGGGGGAGGUGAACAAAGCCCGAGCCCACUCUCCCUGCCUGCAGCCGCCCACUCGUUUCCCAGAGUCCUCGGCAGCGCCGUGUCGCCCGCGAGGGGCCCGCGAGGCGACUUCCUGUCAGAGAGCGACGGCGAAGCAGGAAGCAAUUUGUCAUGCAGGAGCAACGCGCACAGGGAACGUGGAUCGCUCCGAACCGAAACAUGGCACUCUUAAAAGGACACGGGUGAGAAGGACAGGAACGGGAACUCGCACGACGAGAACAAACGAGCGGCGCAGAGAACGCAAGCUCGCCACCUUGUUUUUUUGGGGAAGUGAAAGCAAACGGAAAAUCCUCCACAGUCCAUAUAGAUCCCGAACACCUUUCACCCUUCCUCCCCCGUACAUCUCUCUCUCUCUCUCCCUUUCUCCUCCACCAUCCAGCAUGAAAUCUGAGCGAUAUUAAUGCUGCCAGAGCUGUAAAGUUGUGGUCUGUGCGUCUUUUCUCUUUGGAGCGGAGCACACGCUAAGCAGAACCAUAUGUGCGCCCCAUAUGAACAGGAAACUGCUGGAAAUAAAGAAAGAAGGGAGGAGGCGCAGGGUGGAAGAGGAGGGAGCGAGUCUAGGUUCUGUGUACCCGCUGUAAACUCGGUGUCUCUGUUUAGUCAGUAACUAGAGCACGUUACUGACCCAGUUUUUCAUUAUUGGGGACACACACACACACACACACACACACACACACACACACACACUAAUUAAUGCUUAGCUUCGAAAACAGCAACUCUUCCUAUUUAAGCCUCCAACACACAUUGAAUACAAAAUGGCUUCCUAAUCACAUAAUCCAGUCGAUCAUGUUGAAUUCUUCGUUCUGAUUGGUCGGAAAGUGUUUAACGUUCUAUAAUAGCAGCUCUGAGAGCAGGCUGUAAACGAGUCAGUAACGAAUAUGUUUAUGGUGUAAACGUCGCUAUGUGACAAAGGAAAUGUCGAUACGGUGACGUUUUCUUCACGGAAGGAGUCUCCGGUGUCAGUGCUCUGUAGGAUUUUGCGGCAAGCAAUCUUGUGCAAUUUUGCCAGUUCAAGUCCAUUUUAAAAAAGCACAAAAAAAAACUCCAAAUGCAACAUAUUUGGCUCGGGGAAGUCACGGGAAAGUUUUCCCGACCGAGAACGUCGCGCUUUCUGGUUUCUCUGGAACAUGACAAGCGGCGUGGGGUUUUAUUCGUUUAUUUCUCGUCUCAACGUCCGAAGAAUAGAAAGCGACCGGUGAGGGAACGGCUGCCAUUAAACGAAGCCCUUAAAGGGUCGAAGGUCACCGGGCAAUGCUCGGAGACCUCUGCAGGUAGUGUGUGGACUUGUGUGUGGGAUUAUUACACGUCGCUCAAGGCUAACGGUUUAAUCGUCGAGCCGUUGAUAGAGAUCAGAUUUUAGCCCUUCAUGACCAUGCGUCACCGUUUAGAAUCAGACCCGUCCAAGCCAAGCAGCGCUCGGUCUAAUCGUUAACGACAGUGUCGUUUAACGCGUCGCGUUUUUUUCUGGAGCCGCGUCUCAUUCACUGACCGGCCGCGUGUCGGGUAAAAGCGCAGGUCCUCACCGAAUCGUCUGAAGGCCACCACGUCCGCACGUCACGCUCGGCCUUUAAAAAAACAACAGGACAAACACACACUCAGGCCUGGCCCCGAUUUUAUCAGGCUUUAAAGGCGUGGACGCGUUUUGUUUUUUUUAAUAGAGCGGACACACGUAUAUCGGUAUAUAACCGUGCGUGCGGAUUCAACUUACAAUAGUCGAUUGUGUUUGCGUGUUAUCAGUCAGUCGCACAUUCAAACCGAAGUCCGGCGCUGUUUAGACAGACAAGCGUGUCGGGGAAAAGGUCAGAGGUCAGCACGGAGCGGGAGGUUUUUCUGAGUGCGCACGCUGAUAAUUGGUCACGACACGGACGGAAUAAAAACGCGAAAGGCAACCGUGUCAAGAUCCUUUCUUCCUCCACACUUUGGCCUCUCCAUCACUUUGGUAUGACGUUACAUAGCUUCUUUGUGUGACAGAGAAAGAACGUGUUCGUUAUUAUGUUUAGCAUCCGGCACGUCCCCGGGCGAGUCCCUGUGAAUGAGCCGCUACCGUGGAAACGCUAACGUAUCGGAACUACCGUCAGAGCUGCAGUUAUCGAAGACGAAUCCAUACCUUCUAACCAAUCAGCGCUGUGGUAGGAAUUGCAUACAAUGGAAACCAGUGGUAUUGUUAGCGGUGUCGCUACGCUCGAGUACGACGCAGAAAGCAUCUGUCUUCUAAAGUGUCCUGUCAAAUAUGAAGCACAAACUGUGUUUUUUUUUUUUUGUCUCCGUUAUGGGACGGCGAGAUAGAAUAUAGACUAGACUGUUGUGCGUCCGUGGUCUAGACAGCGGUUAAAAGCAUCCGAGCUCAGUCUUUAUCGGCUCUCAAUCUGCUCUGCGUUCUGUGUGUCAUCGACUCUACUCUUUCACAAUCCCUCCACCUCUCGUCCUCUAUUCUGCUCCGUAAGCCUUGUACGUAGAGGCAUACGUAUUUGUCGUGCCUCUAAAAGAAACACGGACGGGUCACAGCGUCUUUCUUAGACACGCGCUAACGCUAUCGUAACGUAUAAUAGUAGCUAGCGCGGACAGCAUGGUUCAUUCGCGUUCGUUUCUCCAUUCUGGGAUUAUGCUAACGCUAGGUCAAGUCCAGCCCCGUGUUUUCAAGCGGUGACCCGAGGCAGCAUUUUCCCGCCGCUCUCAUUUAGCCGGCUCGCUAGUUAGCC